This 460-nucleotide ribosomal RNA is filed under the name uncultured bacterium. RNAcentral describes it as "partial 16S ribosomal RNA". It matches the Rfam family "Bacterial small subunit ribosomal RNA", at positions 338 to 795 of the family's 1533-position model. The record is from RNAcentral.
CCUACGGGAGGCAGCAGUGAGGAAUAUUGGUCAAUGGGCGUAAGCCUGAACCAGCCAAGCCGCGUGAGGGAUGAAGGUUCUAUGGAUCGUAAACCUCUUUUAUAAGGGAAUUAAGUGUGGGACGUGUCCUAGUAUGGAUGUACCUUAUGAAUAAGGAUCGGCUAACUCCGUGCCAGCAGCCGCGGUAAUACGGAGGAUCCGAGCGUUAUCCGGAUUGGUUGGGUUUUAAGGGUGCGUAGGCGGCCUUUUAAGUCAGAGGUGAAAGGCUGUGGCUCAACCAGAGUAUUGCUGUUGAAACUGGGAGUCUUGAGUGUGGUAGAGGCAGGCGGAAUGCGUGGUGUAGCGGUGAAAUGCGUAGAUAUCACGCAGAACCCCGAUGGCGAAGGCAGCCUGCCGGGCCAUGACUGACGCUGAUGCACGAAAGCGUGGGGAUCAAACAGGAUUAGAUACCCCGGUAGUC